RNAcentral lists this long non-coding RNA (444 nucleotides) under Mustela putorius furo (domestic ferret). RNAcentral describes it as "lncRNA (ENSMPUG00000029706.1)". Lineage: Eukaryota; Metazoa; Chordata; Mammalia; Carnivora; Mustelidae. The record is from RNAcentral.
CCAAGAGUGAACCCUGAGGUAAAUUAUGGACUGUGUGGGUGAUUAUGAUACAUCAUAAGAGAUUCAUCCUUGUCUAAUCACGGCAAACCUAAUGGAAGGACAGCCUGCAAAACACCUGACUGUGCCCUUCGAGACUGUCAAGGUCAUGAAACAAGGAAAGACCAAACAGUCACAGAUUGGAGACCAAGGGAACAUGAUGACCAAAGGCAAUCUGAUAUCCUGCAACAGGAAAAGGACAUCAUGGAGAAACUGCAGAAGAGAUCCACUGUGACAUAUGUGUCAACAGAGAACUGGCAAAGAACCUAUAGGCACAAUGUCAAGUGCAGAACCCAGAACGGCCUACUGUUGCUAGUAAACCGAGCCCUCAGCAAUGGCACAGACCAGGGCAGCCUUGAAGACAAGAAGUCCAUGUUGCUGAAGCCCAUGCAUAGCCUCUACCACUGA